This 258-nucleotide ribosomal RNA is filed under the name uncultured bacterium. RNAcentral's name for it is "partial 16S ribosomal RNA". It matches the Rfam family "Bacterial small subunit ribosomal RNA", at positions 524 to 781 of the family's 1533-position model. The record is from RNAcentral.
UACGUAGGGUGCAAGCGUUAAUCGGAAUUACUGGGCUUAAAGGGUUUGUAGGCGGCUUUGUAAGUCAGGUGUGAAAGCCCUCGGCUCAACCGAGGAACAGCGCUUGAUACUGCAAGGCUUGAGGGAGACAGGGGUAGGCGGAACUGAUGGUGGAGCGGUGAAAUGCGUUGAUAUCAUCAGGAACACCGGUGGCGAAAGCGGCUUACUGGGUCUCUUCUGACGCUGAGGAACGAAAGCUAGGGUAGCGAACGGGAUUAG